GCGAUGAACCAGACUGCCGCGGGGGGCGGGGGAAUUGCCCCUUCCCCUUGAGGAAAGUCCGGGCUCCGCAGGGCAUGAUGCCGGGUAAUUCCCGGGCGGGAAGGACGAAAGUCUUUUUCGACAGAAAGCGCAGCAGAAAGUAAACCGCCGUUUAACGGUAAGGGUGAAAGGGCGGGGUAAGAGCCCACCUCGGCGGCGGCAACGCCGCCGGAAAGAUUUCAGGUUUAUCCUGAAAAACGGCAAGCCUCAUCAGGAGCAAAGUCAAGCAGCGGUUUAACGGCCCGUUAAAAACCGCGGGUAGACUGCAUGGAACUUGCCUGUAAAGGCAAGCCAAGACAGAUGGCAUUGCACGGCCAUACCGGCGCAGGCCGGCAUAGCCGCGACAGAACCCGGCUUAUGGUUCAUCGUUUUU
This 412-nucleotide RNase P RNA is filed under the name Treponema sp. RNAcentral's name for it is "RNase P RNA component class A". It matches the Rfam family "Bacterial RNase P class A". Rfam says of the family: Ribonuclease P (RNase P) is a ubiquitous endoribonuclease, found in archaea, bacteria and eukarya as well as chloroplasts and mitochondria. Its best characterised activity is the generation of mature 5'-ends of tRNAs by cleaving the 5'-leader elements of precursor-tRNAs. The record is from RNAcentral. Lineage: Bacteria; Pseudomonadati; Spirochaetota; Spirochaetia; Treponematales; Treponemataceae.